This 253-nucleotide ribosomal RNA is filed under the name uncultured bacterium. RNAcentral describes it as "partial 16S ribosomal RNA". It matches the Rfam family "Bacterial small subunit ribosomal RNA", at positions 524 to 776 of the family's 1533-position model. The record is from RNAcentral.
UACGAAGGGGGCUAGCGUUGGUCGGAAUUACUGGGCGUAAAGCGCACGUAGGCGGAUUGUUAAGUCAGAGGUGAAAUCCCGGAGCUCAACUUCGGAACUGCCUUUGAUACUGGCAAUCUAGAGUCCGGAAGAGGUUAGUGGAAUUCCCAGUGUAGAGGUGAAAUUCGUAGAUAUUGGGAAGAACACCAGUGGCGAAGGCGGCUAACUGGUCCGGUACUGACGCUGAGGUGCGAAAGCGUGGGGAGCAAACAGG